Mauremys mutica (yellowpond turtle) is the source of this 679-nucleotide long non-coding RNA. RefSeq lists it as uncharacterized. The transcript is spliced from 3 exons. The record is from RefSeq and is a predicted model, not a curated record. Lineage: Eukaryota; Metazoa; Chordata; Testudines; Geoemydidae.
GUACUUUGGUGGGCUGUGUUCAUGUGAUUCAGUCCUCAUGAGUGACCUUUGCACAAUAUAAGGUACCUAGACACAGGACCAACAGAUGGCAAGAAACAAACCCUGCCCUGAAGAGCUUCCAGUUUCCAAGACAGAAAAGUAAUGAUAGGGGAAACCGAGGUACAAAGAGAUUAAGUGACUUGCCCAAGUUCACAGAGGAGGAACAGAGCCUGGAAAGAACCCAGGCGUGAGAAGAAGCAUGGAAACAGACUCCAGGGCAGGUUCUGUUUUGCUUCCAUCUUAUGGAAGCCCUUCUGCUAGUGUGCCAGUGGGUCACGUUUCCAGGACUGGGACCCUCUCAACCCUGCAGGAUCUUGAACUGGCUGCCUCCUCCACUCACUGACAUCCCUGAGAGGUUGGAAGGCAGCAGUUUACAGGAACACCAUGGGAACAAAGCUGCUGAAGAAGUUUUGCUGCCAUGGGAGAAGGAUGUGGUUGUGAAGAGGUUCUAGGCCCUGCUGAGUGUUUCCCACAUAAAAGACACCUGCAUCAAACAAAGCCAAUAUCACACUGGGGAGAGGCUGGUGAGAUAGCUUUGGCUCUCUUGAAAGGCUUGCAAACCUUCAUAAGGCUUUCACCAGGUCUGAGUUGGGAGAGAACUUAGAGCUAUCCAUCCACGCUUCAUGUGCUUUCAGGUAGG